RNAcentral lists this transfer RNA (82 nucleotides) under Nanobdellota archaeon. RNAcentral's name for it is "tRNA-Ser". It matches the Rfam family "tRNA". From Rfam's summary of the family: Transfer RNA (tRNA) molecules are approximately 80 nucleotides in length. Their secondary structure includes four short double-helical elements and three loops (D, anti-codon, and T loops). Lineage: Archaea; Nanobdellati; Nanobdellota. The record is from RNAcentral.
GCCAGCAUCGCCUAAUCCGGUAUGGCGUCGGUCUCGAAAACCGAUCCCUCUGGGAUUCCCGGUUCAAAUCCGGGUGCUGGCG